Bradysia coprophila is the source of this 281-nucleotide long non-coding RNA. The record is from RefSeq and is a predicted model, not a curated record. NCBI's taxonomy places the organism in Eukaryota, Metazoa, Arthropoda, Insecta, Diptera, Sciaridae.
UCACUAUAAAAAAUAAUGUGUUUGGAAAAGCUCUUAUCGGCAUCAGUUUGUUGUAUCGAUACAUUUGUAGUAAACGAUCCUAGGAAAAACUACCCUUUUGUCGAAAUGAUGAAGCCAGUACUUUUCACCUUCCUUUUGGUUGCGCUCUUUGCUGCGUACUCAGCAUCUCCAGUAGCUGAUGCCGAGGCUGCACCAGCUCCUUGUUGGUGGUGGCUUUUAUUGACAACCACAAGCACAACAACAACCACUACUACUACCACAACCACCACCACCACCACAAC